This 253-nucleotide ribosomal RNA is filed under the name uncultured bacterium. RNAcentral's name for it is "partial 16S ribosomal RNA". It matches the Rfam family "Bacterial small subunit ribosomal RNA", at positions 524 to 776 of the family's 1533-position model. The record is from RNAcentral.
UACGUAGGGGGCGAGCGUUGUCCGGAAUUAUUGGGCGUAAAGAGCGUGUAGGCGGUUCGGUAAGUCUGUCGUGAAAUCCUGGGGCUCAACCUCGGGCGUGCGAUGGAUACUGCCGGGCUAGAGGGUGGUAGAGGCGAGUGGAAUUCCCGGUGUAGCGGUGAAAUGCGCAGAUAUCAGGAGGAACACCGGUGGCGAAGGCGGUUCUCUGGGAAUAUCCUGACGCUGAGGAGCGAAAGCGUGGGGAGCGAACAGG